Molecule: non-coding RNA, 29 nt
Filed under: Mus musculus (house mouse)
Lineage: Eukaryota; Metazoa; Chordata; Mammalia; Rodentia; Muridae
Source: RNAcentral
UGCCAACUUCAGAAGUAAGGAAUGUCAGG